RNAcentral lists this ribosomal RNA (253 nucleotides) under uncultured bacterium. RNAcentral describes it as "partial 16S ribosomal RNA". It matches the Rfam family "Bacterial small subunit ribosomal RNA", at positions 524 to 776 of the family's 1533-position model. The record is from RNAcentral.
UACAGAGGUCUCAAGCGUUGUUCGGAUUCAUUGGGCGUAAAGAGCGUGUAGGCGGUCCGGUAAGUCGGCUGUGAAAGUCCAGGGCUCAACCCUGGGAUGCCGGUCGAUACUGCCGGACUAGAGUUCGGAAGAGGCGAGUGGAAUUCCCGGUGUAGCGGUGAAAUGCGCAGAUAUCGGGAGGAACACCUAUGGCGAAGGCAGCUCGCUGGGACGUUACUGACGCUGAGACGCGAAAGCGUGGGGAGCAAACAGG